GUGAAACCCUCCUCUUCUCUUCUCUUCUCUGCAACUGAUUCUCUUCUUCUUCAUACUCUUCCAUUCUUUUCAUAUUUCUUAAUUGAAGCAAACUCAUUCGGUAUCACUUCUCCACCCGAAGAAUCCGUCGCUAAUUCAAAUCCUUCUUUCACCGACGGCGUUGCCACCAAAGAUAUUCACAUCGAUCCUUUCACCUGGGUUUAGCUUCUUGUUAAUUACGUCAUGUGUGUUCUUCUCUGCUAGGAAUUCAAUUUCUUGUUGGGGUUCUGAAAUUGAGAAUGGGUAUAUUGCUGAAUGGGUUUAGCUUGUCGAGAUAUUGCUGAAUGGGUAUAUUGUUGAAUCAGAGUUUGUGUGUUUUCAUUGGUGACAACGAUCUCCACCACUGUUUUGCUGCUGUUUGUAGAGAUAAAAACAAGAUGAAUAUGACUUCUUCAUUGUAGAGAUGGAAGCAAGAGAGUAAUUAGUGUUGUAUCAUAUGUUUUGUUUUUACUAGGUUUCUUCAAAAACUAGCUUCUGGGUAGCAUUCAACUGUGAAUUGUUUAUUCUCUCUACAGAACAAGUUUUAUAUGUUUACUUGAUUUGAAUUGUUAUGGGUAUUGAA
Molecule: long non-coding RNA, 601 nt
Filed under: Medicago truncatula (barrel medic)
Lineage: Eukaryota; Viridiplantae; Streptophyta; Magnoliopsida; Fabales; Fabaceae
Description: lncRNA gene25644
Source: RNAcentral